This 425-nucleotide long non-coding RNA is filed under the name Mustela putorius furo (domestic ferret). Its description in RNAcentral is "lncRNA (ENSMPUG00000025960.1)". The record is from RNAcentral. Lineage: Eukaryota; Metazoa; Chordata; Mammalia; Carnivora; Mustelidae.
AACAUGUACCAGCCAAUUACCAGGUGAGAGUAAGGGUCUCUAUACUUUAUAGGGUGAUUGGAGAACAUCUCACUGGGCAGAGACGUGAAGGAAUGAGGGAGUGAGUCCUAUGGUCAUUGGAAGUCAAGGUGAAGAGCAUUCUUGGAGGAGGGAACAUAGGCUCCACACCCAGCAUGGAUCACAAGGCAGGGCUUGAACUCAUGACCCUGGGAUCAAGACCUGAGCUGAGAUCAAGAGUCAGACGCUCAACCAACUGAGCUACCCAGGCCUCCUGUAUUUAACUUUUAAAUUUGUGCAGACUUUCCAUAACUGAACUAAAAAAGACUGUCAUUUCUCUUUCUUAGCACCUGGAACAAUGCCUUUCAUGUAAUAGGUUCUUAAGAUGUGAGUGUUGAAUAAAAUAGGAUGAAGAGUCUAUAUUUUUG